Molecule: small nuclear RNA, 165 nt
Organism: Hippopotamus amphibius kiboko
Lineage: Eukaryota; Metazoa; Chordata; Mammalia; Artiodactyla; Hippopotamidae
Product: U1 spliceosomal RNA
Exons: 1
Source: RefSeq, a predicted model, not a curated record
AUACUUACCUGGCAGGGGAGAUACCAUGACCCCGAAGGUGGUUUCCCCAGGGCGAGGCUCACCCAUUUCACUGGGGGUAUGCUGACCUUCUGCGAUUUCCCCAAAUGCCGGAAACUCGACUGCGAAAUUUGUAGUAGUGGGGGACUGCGUUCGCGCUCUCGCCUG